AACGCUGGCGGCACGCUUAACACAUGCAAGUCGAACGAGAGAAGAGAAGCUUGCUUUUCUGAUCUAGUGGCGGACGGGUGAGUAACACGUGAGCAAUCUGCCUUUCAGAGGGGGAUACCGAUUGGAAACGAUCGUUAAUACCGCAUAACAUAAUUGAACCGCAUGAUUUGAUUAUCAAAGAUUUAUCGCUGAAAGAUGAGCUCGCGUCUGAUUAGCUAGUUGGUAAGGUAACGGCUUACCAAGGCGACGAUCAGUAGCCGGACUGAGAGGUUGAUCGGCCACAUUGGGACUGAGGCACGGCCCAGACUCCUACGGGAGGCAGCAGUGGGGAAUAUUGCACAAUGGAGGAAACUCUGAUGCAGCGAUGCCGCGUGAGGGAAGAAGGUUUUAGGAUUGUAAACCUCUGUCUUCAGAGACGAAAAAAGACGGUACCUGAGGAGGAAGCUCCGGCUAACUACGUGCCAGCAGCCGCGGUAAUACGUAGGGAGCGAGCGUUGUCCGGAAUUACUGGGUGUAAAGGGAGCGUAGGCGGGAUCGCAAGUCAGAUGUGAAAACUAUGGGCUUAACCCAUAAACUGCAUUUGAAACUGUGGUUCUUGAGUGAAGUAGAGGUAAGCGGAAUUCCUAGUGUAGCGGUGAAAUGCGUAGAUAUUAGGAGGAACAUCAGUGGCGAAGGCGGCUUACUGGGCUUUAACUGACGCUGAGGCUCGAAAGCGUGGGGAGCAAACAGGAUUAGAUACCCUGGUAGUCCACGCCGUAAACGAUGAUUACUAGGUGUGGGGGGACUGACCCCUUCCGUGCCGCAGCAAACGCAAUAAGUAAUCCACCUGGGGAGUACGACCGCAAGGUUGAAACUCAAAGGAAUUGACGGGGGCCCGCACAAGCAGUGGAGUAUGUGGAUUAAUUCGAAGCAACGCGAAGAACCUUACCAGGUCUUGACAUCGUAUGCAUAGCUCAGAGAUGAGUGAAAUCUCUUCGGAGACAUAUAGACAGGUGGUGCAUGGUUGUCGUCAGCUCGUGUCGUGAGAUGUUGGGUUAGGUCCCGCAACGAGCGCAACCCUUACUGUUAGUUGCUACGCAAGAGCACUCUAGCAGGACUGCCGUUGACAAAACGGAGGAAGGUGGGGAUGACGUCAAAUCAUCAUGCCCCUUAUGACCUGGGCCUCACACGUACUACAAUGGCUGUCAACAGAGGGAUGCAAAGCCGCGAGGUGGAGCGAACCCCUAAAAGCAGUCUUAGUUCGGAUUGUAGGCUGCAACCCGCCUACAUGAAGUCGGAAUUGCUAGUAAUCGCAGAUCAGCAUGCUGCGGUGGAUACGUUCCCGGGCCUUGUACACACCGCCCGUCACGCCAUGGGAGUCGGUAACACCCGAAGCCUGUAGUCUAACCGCAAGGAGGACGCAGUCGAAGGUGGGAUUGAUGACUGGGGUGA
This 1431-nucleotide ribosomal RNA is filed under the name uncultured organism. Its description in RNAcentral is "SSU rRNA". It matches the Rfam family "Bacterial small subunit ribosomal RNA". The record is from RNAcentral.